Long non-coding RNA from Canis lupus familiaris (dog), 321 nucleotides. RefSeq lists it as uncharacterized. The transcript is spliced from 3 exons. The record is from RefSeq and is a predicted model, not a curated record. Lineage: Eukaryota; Metazoa; Chordata; Mammalia; Carnivora; Canidae.
GUGAUUGCUUUCUGGGUUGCUGACUCAAGGGAACAUUCCUUUGAAGGUUUGACCUCUUUGGGUUCCUCCUGUGAUAAGAAAGGCUCAUUGAUCCUGAAAACCUAAAGAGCCCAGGAUCAUAGUAAGGAAAGAUUGGAAGCUACUGAUAAAGCAGCUCCCUUUCUCAUGAAGAGCAGCACCAUAACAGCCAACUCCCAUAACAUGGUGAUAACCAAGAAUUUGCCAGAGGAGAAGCAACAACAUGUAUAACAGCAUUUACAACUCCAUAAAGUGAUUUAUUCGACUAAGAACUACUAGAAAGCCAAUUUUCCCAUGGAUUCA